CGCGGCGUGCCCGAGAGGCCAGGGAGCGGUCUGCAACACCGCUGACGCGGGUUCGAAUCCCGCCGUCGCGUCGA
This 74-nucleotide transfer RNA is filed under the name Rathayibacter festucae DSM 15932. RNAcentral's name for it is "tRNA-Cys". It matches the Rfam family "tRNA". Rfam says of the family: Transfer RNA (tRNA) molecules are approximately 80 nucleotides in length. Their secondary structure includes four short double-helical elements and three loops (D, anti-codon, and T loops). Further hydrogen bonds mediate the characteristic L-shaped molecular structure. tRNAs have two regions of fundamental functional importance: the anti-codon, which is responsible for specific mRNA codon recognition, and the 3' end, to which the tRNAs corresponding amino acid is attached (by aminoacyl-tRNA synthetases). tRNAs cope with the degeneracy of the genetic code in two manners: having more than one tRNA (with a specific anti-codon) for a particular amino acid; and 'wobble' base-pairing, i.e. permitting non-standard base-pairing at the 3rd anti-codon position. The record is from RNAcentral. Lineage: Bacteria; Bacillati; Actinomycetota; Actinomycetes; Micrococcales; Microbacteriaceae.